This 69-nucleotide transfer RNA is filed under the name Ictidomys tridecemlineatus (thirteen-lined ground squirrel). RNAcentral's name for it is "Spermophilus tridecemlineatus (thirteen-lined ground squirrel) tRNA". It matches the Rfam family "tRNA". From Rfam's summary of the family: Transfer RNA (tRNA) molecules are approximately 80 nucleotides in length. Their secondary structure includes four short double-helical elements and three loops (D, anti-codon, and T loops). Lineage: Eukaryota; Metazoa; Chordata; Mammalia; Rodentia; Sciuridae. The record is from Rfam by way of RNAcentral.
GGGGAUGUGGCUCAAUGGUAGAGCGCUCGCCUGGCAUGCGUGAGGCACUGGGUUUGAUCCUCAGUACCA